GUUCUACCAUCUUCCCAGUUCACAAGUAAGAAAACUGAACCUUUCUUACAUCUUACUUCUUAUUCUUCAAAUCCAGUUGAAAAUGGAUGACACCUUAUCAGAUCAUCAAAGCACAGUAUUACCAGAGUUAUAGUGUUGAAUGUGUUUCAUCUGCACCAUUUCUAAGUAAUAAUUCAUCACAAAUGACAAGAUAGAAUCUCUAGCAAUAAGAUUUUGGGUCAUCGUCAUCCUAUAGACUUCAAAAGAAACACAGGCACUCAAACGUCUGACUCUAAUCAUAAGUUAGCAUAAUAGGAACGAUGGCAAUAGAAGAGUAUGUUUAGCUGAUAUCAUUUGGAAAUGGGAACAUGAGCACGUGAUUACAGCAGAAGGAUCUGGAAACACUGUGGUCCUGAAGUAGCAGAGGAAGAAG
Molecule: long non-coding RNA, 412 nt
Filed under: Homo sapiens (human)
Lineage: Eukaryota; Metazoa; Chordata; Mammalia; Primates; Hominidae
Description: HSALNT0146577
Source: RNAcentral